This 334-nucleotide unclassified non-coding RNA is filed under the name soil metagenome. RNAcentral's name for it is "partial contains 5.8S ribosomal RNA, internal transcribed spacer 2, and large subunit ribosomal RNA". The stretch from base 1 to 120 matches the Rfam family "5.8S ribosomal RNA", at positions 35 to 154 of the family's 154-position model. The record is from RNAcentral.
GAUGAAGAACGUAGUGAAAUGCGAUAAGUAGUGUGAAUUGCAGAAUUCAGUGAAUCAUCGAAUCUUUGAACGCACAUUGCGCCCUUUGGUAUUCCUUAGGGCAUGCCUGUUCGAGCGUCAUUUAAACCUUCAAGCUCAGCUUGGUGUUGGGUGACUGUCCGCUUCACCGCGGACUCGCCUCAAAAUUAUUGGCGGCCGGUACAUUGGCUCUCGUGCGCAGCAGAAACGCGUAACUCGAGGUCCUCGUGCUGGCUCCCAGAAGCUAUCUUCACAAUUUUGACCUCGGAUCAGGUAGGGAUACCCGCUGAACUUAAGCAUAUCAAUAAGCGGAGGA